This 425-nucleotide ribosomal RNA is filed under the name uncultured bacterium. RNAcentral describes it as "partial 16S ribosomal RNA". It matches the Rfam family "Bacterial small subunit ribosomal RNA", at positions 354 to 796 of the family's 1533-position model. The record is from RNAcentral.
GUGGGGAAUCUUUGACAAUGGGGGCAACCCUGAUCUAGCCAUGCCGCGUGAGUGAUGAAGGCCUUAGGGUCGUAAAGCUCUUUCGCCGGGGAAGAUAAUGACUGUACCCGGUAAAGAAACCCCGGCUAACUCCGUGCCAGCAGCCGCGGUAAUACGGAGGGGGUUAGCGUUGUUCGGAAUUACUGGGCGUAAAGCGCGCGUAGGCGGAUCGGAAAGUUGGGGGUGAAAUCCCGGGGCUCAACCCCGGAAUUGCCUUCAAAACUCCCGGUCUUGAGGUCGAGAGAGGUGAGUGGAAUUCCGAGUGUAGAGGUGAAAUGCGUAGAUAUCAUCCAGAACACCGAUUGCGAAGGCAGGUGGCUGUACCUUAAUCGACGCUGAUGCACGAAAGCAUGGGGAGCAAACAGGAUUAGAUACCCGAGUAGUCC